UUGUGUGCCCAAACGUCCUGAAAAGCCUGAUCUCUCAGAAGGGAAGCAGGUUGGAUGUGGUUAGUACCUGGAUGGGAGACCACUAGGAAUACCAGGUGCCACAGCGA
Molecule: ribosomal RNA, 107 nt
Filed under: Periophthalmus magnuspinnatus
Lineage: Eukaryota; Metazoa; Chordata; Actinopteri; Gobiiformes; Gobiidae
Source: RNAcentral